RNAcentral lists this ribosomal RNA (400 nucleotides) under uncultured bacterium. RNAcentral describes it as "bacterial SSU rRNA". It matches the Rfam family "Bacterial small subunit ribosomal RNA", at positions 362 to 757 of the family's 1533-position model. The record is from RNAcentral.
UUUUGGACAAUGGGGGCAACCCUGAUCCAGCAAUGCCGCGUGAGUGAAGAAGGCCUUCGGGUUGUAAAGCUCUUUUGUCAGGGAAGAAACAGCAGCUCUAACACCGUUGUGAAUGACGGUACCUGAAGAAUAAGCACCGGCUAACUACGUGCCAGCAGCCGCGGUAAUACGUAGGGUGCAAGCGUUAAUCGGAAUUACUGGGCGUAAAGCGUGCGCAGGCGGUUAUACAAGACAGGCGUGAAAUCCCCGGGCUCAACCUGGGAAUUGCGUCUGUGACUGUAUAGCUAGAGUGUGUCAGAGGGGGGUAGAAUUCCACGUGUAGCAGUGAAAUGCGUAGAUAUGUGGAGGAAUACCAAGGCGAAGGCAGCCCCCUGGGAUAACACUGACGCUCAUGCACGAA